GACGAACGCUGGCGGCGUGCCUAAUACAUGCAAGUUGAGCGCUGAAGGUUGGUACUUGUACCAACUGGAUGAGCAGCGAACGGGUGAGUAACGCGUGGGGAAUCUGCCUUUGAGCGGGGGACAACAUUUGGAAACGAACGCUAAUACCGCAUAAAAACUUUAAACACAAGUUUUAAGUUUGAAAGAUGCAAUUGCAUCACUCAAAGAUGAUCCCGCGUUGUAUUAGCUAGUUGGUGAGGUAAAGGCUCACCAAGGCGAUGAUACAUAGCCGACCUGAGAGGGUGAUCGGCCACAUUGGGACUGAGACACGGCCCAAACUCCUACGGGAGGCAGCAGUAGGGAAUCUUCGGCAAUGGACGAAAGUCUGACCGAGCAACGCCGCGUGAGUGAAGAAGGUUUUCGGAUCGUAAAACUCUGUUGGUAGAGAAGAACGUUGGUGAGAGUGGAAAGCUCAUCAAGUGACGGUAACUACCCAGAAAGGGACGGCUAACUACGUG
RNAcentral lists this ribosomal RNA (497 nucleotides) under uncultured bacterium. RNAcentral describes it as "partial 16S ribosomal RNA". It matches the Rfam family "Bacterial small subunit ribosomal RNA", at positions 28 to 507 of the family's 1533-position model. The record is from RNAcentral.